GAAAAAAAAAUGGUAAACCCUCACAAGAAUCCAAAGAAACAAAGCACACGUGAUAAACAAUUUGGGCAACCUCUCCCUUCACGCCCACUGUUCCAGAAUUUCUCCUCCCAAAUCAUACAAAGAUCUGAACCAUGAAGAAGAAGCCAAAAUCCCUCCUCUGCACCCAUUAACCAAAGCACUCAAACCUGUCACUUUCUCAAAACCUCUUCUCCCAAUUUUUUCCCAAAUCGUGAUUACCAACACAGAGGUUCCAGGCUGGAAUACAAGAGUUGUGAGAUUUUGUUGAAUUAAAAGUUGGAUCCUUUAUUGCUGGAGAAAAGCAAACAAACAGAGGUUUUAAGCAUCAAGUAUGAAAGAGUUCAAAUAAAUGAUGUUGGAGAGUCGAUCAAAUUGAAGGGCUGCUUUAAUUACAAGCUACAAAUAGUGGCUCAUGGAUUCCUUUUCAUUCACUGGAUUUGUAAUGUUUCAUUGGAAUAGUCUUGGCCAAAGUUUUACUGUUCAUAUUUUUGAAACCGUUUAAUAGUUUGAUCUUUUUAUGUGUCUUGAAGGUAUUUUUGAAGGCAUUAGAGUGCAAAAUCAAUAUCAUUUAUGUUACUGGAGAAGAUUUCUAAUUAUUACAUGUUCAUGCAAAGUAGUGAGUUACAAGAAAAUGUAAGGAGACUAUUGUUUUUCCUCUUUGAAAGUUAAAGUUUAGAAUACAUUUUCUUACAAAUGUUGGGGCAUUAUCCUCGAUGACAUUUAAUUCAAGAGGUUGAAGUUGGAUUUUGAGCUUAUAGCUUGCCGAAGACUAGAUCAUGAUACUAUCAAACAAUAAUGACUAUAGGCAAGAUAUAUAGAGUAGGAGCAGCUUGCAUAUUUGUUAUAGAUAGAUGCAUCUUUCAAUAUAAGAGACUUUUCUUGGUUAAUCGAUGUUAGGAAGAAUCUCAAUGCUAGCCAAUGGCAAUCUAUCAUAAUCCAUUUACUUGAUAUUUCUUUGUUAUUCAAGUGCAUUGAAACUUUUUUAGCCAUAUGAUCUACUUUUGAUUGUUUUAUAUAUGAUGAUUUGUAGCAUAACUAAAAUUGUUAAUCGCUAUGUAAAUUCAAAAAACACGGGGGUGCACCGAAAGGGUUAUGUCUAUGCGUAUAUCAACUUUGUAAAUAUUAUAGAAUGAUUGUGUUAUGUAUCUUUAUUAUAAUUAA
Long non-coding RNA from Trifolium pratense (red clover), 1179 nucleotides. RefSeq lists it as uncharacterized. The transcript is spliced from 6 exons. NCBI's taxonomy places the organism in Eukaryota, Viridiplantae, Streptophyta, Magnoliopsida, Fabales, Fabaceae. The record is from RefSeq and is a predicted model, not a curated record.